Molecule: unclassified non-coding RNA, 214 nt
Filed under: Hevea brasiliensis (rubber tree)
Lineage: Eukaryota; Viridiplantae; Streptophyta; Magnoliopsida; Malpighiales; Euphorbiaceae
Source: RNAcentral
UUGCGGAAGCUUUUGGAUGAUUAUUUACUUGAGAAACAGAAAAACCGGGCCAAAACAGAACCAUGUGAAAUGGAGCUUUUUAAUAGGUCUCGGUUUAGCAAUUCAUCAUUGCAACGUUGCAAAGGCAAUGAACCAGUUGAUGAAGNNNNNNNNGGUGGAAAUGACCCUCCUAUUUCAAGUUACCCUUCAGUAGAGAUAGAGAAGGAUGCAGCCC